UCAGUCUCCAGCAUUGUUCUUCUACUCUCCUUAAUCCUGUCACCAGACUGGUUUAAUCUCUCUACUGACAUAGACAAUCUUUCUCUCUCAUCUGCAGAAACCGCGUGAACAUCCGCCAUUCCAGCCUCCAAUAACUCUUCACGGGAAGCCUGAUCAGCAUUACCAGACGUUAUUCUCUUAAAUUCCCUCUUCAACUUAUUCAAAUCAGACUUAUAUUCCCUUAAUUUAGCACGAAGCAUAGCCUUCACACUCGGCUGCAGGCUCCUCGCCUCAAGGUCCAUUUUCCGAAUCAGAACAUCACAAUCAUCCAACCCAGAUUUUAUCAGAGAGAUCUUCUCCUUCUUCUCCUCUCCAUCGGGAAGAAUAAACGUGGAGUUGCAUUUACGUGAGAGAUUUGCAGAGAGCUCGCAGUACUGGCGCUCGUAUCCUUCAAAGACAUCACUCAUGAUUGCUGAGCAAGAAGAGAAGAGAAGAGAAGAUGGGUCGAUUACAGAAGAGAAGGAAAGUGAGUAGGGAGAGAUAUGAACCGAUGUAAAAUGGCAACCGACGGAGCCGUAAAUUCUUGGAAAUAGGUGACUUCGGACAGCUGCA
This 591-nucleotide unclassified non-coding RNA is filed under the name Hevea brasiliensis (rubber tree). The record is from RNAcentral. Lineage: Eukaryota; Viridiplantae; Streptophyta; Magnoliopsida; Malpighiales; Euphorbiaceae.